This is a non-coding RNA of Epilithonimonas sp., 91 nucleotides long. The record is from Rfam. NCBI's taxonomy places the organism in Bacteria, Pseudomonadati, Bacteroidota, Flavobacteriia, Flavobacteriales, Weeksellaceae.
UUUUUGCGAAGCGCGUGAGGGAUGGUAGUGGAAAUCCUUUUGGGGAUUUUGCAAAAUCCCCAAAAGAUUGCAACGGACAGCCCGACCCGAG